This 492-nucleotide ribosomal RNA is filed under the name uncultured bacterium. Its description in RNAcentral is "partial 16S ribosomal RNA". It matches the Rfam family "Bacterial small subunit ribosomal RNA", at positions 29 to 507 of the family's 1533-position model. The record is from RNAcentral.
AGUGAACGCUGGCGGUAGGCCUAACACAUGCAAGUCGAACGGCAGCACAGUAAGAGCUUGCUCUUACGGGUGGCGAGUGGCGGACGGGUGAGGAAUACAUCGGAAUCUACUUUUUCGUGGGGGAUAACGUAGGGAAACUUACGCUAAUACCGCAUACGACCUACGGGUGAAAGCAGGGGAUCUUCGGACCUUGCGCGAUUGAAUGAGCCGAUGUCGGAUUAGCUAGUUGGCGGGGUAAAGGCCCACCAAGGCGACGAUCCGUAGCUGGGCUGAGAGGAUGAUCAGCCACACUGGAACUGGGACACGGUCCUGACUCCUACGGGACGCAGCAGUGGGGAAUAUUGGACAAUGGGCGCAAGCCUGAUCCAGCCAUACCGCGUGGGUGAAGAAGGCCUUCGGGUUGUAAAGCCCUUUUGUUGGGAAAGAAAAGCAGCAGGUUAAUACCCCGCUGUUCUGACGGUACCCAAAGAAUAAGCACCGGCUAACUUCGUG